RNAcentral lists this long non-coding RNA (458 nucleotides) under Monodelphis domestica (gray short-tailed opossum). RNAcentral describes it as "lncRNA (ENSMODG00000033797.2)". Lineage: Eukaryota; Metazoa; Chordata; Mammalia; Didelphimorphia; Didelphidae. The record is from RNAcentral.
GGUGAGGGGUGGGAUGCGGGAGAGUCUGGGUGCCUUCUUGCAUUCUCGGGUUCUCUCUGCCUGGGGGAAGCUUCACCUGGCGGCCAGGUUGGGGGAUCGCCUUCUUUCACCUGAUGGCUGUGCCGAAUGGCACAGUGAGUUAACCCAGAGGAGAGGGCCAAACAGACGAAAAGAUUUCCGGAGGUAAUUUGCACAUGAAUACAACAUUUAAAAGUUUCCAGUAUACUUUACAGUCAUUACUUCAUUUGAGCCUAGCAAUGACUCUCUGAGGUAGGUAACAUAAGUAUCACUUUGUCCAUUUUAAAAAUGAAGAAACUGAGGAACAAAGAAGUUAAGCAAUCUACUCAGGAUCAUGGAACUAAUGAAAGUCAGAAGCAGAGUCUCUGACAUUAAGUUUUGCAUCCUGGCCUCUAUUUCAUGUAAAAAUAAAGAAUAUUGAUUCCUAAGUGUAUCUUACA